Molecule: RNA transcript, 2688 nt
Organism: Equus quagga
Lineage: Eukaryota; Metazoa; Chordata; Mammalia; Perissodactyla; Equidae
Gene: RHBDD1
Gene name: rhomboid domain containing 1
Exons: 9
Source: RefSeq, a predicted model, not a curated record
ACGCGCCCCCGCCCCCUCCCGGCCAUGCAAGCGGCGGAGACUAGGAGGGGCCAGGAUUGGGCGCCCGUGCGUGAUGACGCACGUGCGGGCGAAGGCGUGGGGAAGACGCAGGCGGGCCGUAGAGAGCACAUGUUACAGUAAUCCUGGGAAGGAGGUAUUAUUCCUAAUUUAAAGUGAAGAAGUUGAAUUUCAGACAGUUUAAGUAAUUUGCCUAGAUCACAGGACUGGUUCAGCCGUCUGUAAACCUCCCUAGAUUCCUAAAACCUGACCACGUUUUCCUCUCACUGGGUUGAUAUCUAACCAUGCAGCGGAGAUCAAGAGGAAUUAAUACUGGGCUUAUUCUGCUCCUUUCUCAAAUCUUCCAUGUUGGGAUCAACAAUAUUCCACCUGUCACCCUAGCAACUUUGGCUCUCAACAUCUGGCUCUUCUUGAAUCCUCUGAAGUCGCUGUAUAACUCCUGCCUUAGCGUGGAGAAGUGUUACCAGCAAAAAGACUGGCAGCGCUUACUGCUCUCCCCGUUCCACCAUGCAGACGACUGGCAUUUGUAUUUCAAUAUGGCAUCCAUGCUAUGGAAAGGAAUAAAUCUGGAAAGAAGACUAGGAAGUAAAUGGUUUGCCUACAUCAUCAUCACAUUCUCCCUACUCACUGGGGUGGUGUACCUGUUCUUGGAAUUUGCUCUUGCAGAAUUUAUGGAUGAACCUGACUUCAGAAGGAACUGUGCUGUAGGUUUCUCAGGAGUUUUGUUUGCUUUGAAAGUUCUUAACAACCAUUAUUGCCCUGGAGGCUUUGUCAACGUUUUGGGCUUUCCUGUACCCAACAAAUUUGCUUGUUGGGCAGAACUUGUGGCUAUUCAUUUCAUCUCGCCAGGGACUUCCUUCGCCGGGCAUCUGGCCGGGAUUCUUGUUGGACUAAUGUACACGCACGGGCCUCUGAAGAAAAUCAUGGAAACGUGUGCAGGCAUGUUUUCCUCCAAUAUUGCUUAUCCAGAACAGCGAUACUACUUUAAUAGUUCAGGCUACUCUGGAUAUCAGGAUUCUUACCCAUAUGGCAGGCCAGGUCACUAUGCAGAAGUACCCAGGAACUAUGAUGUGUACACAGCAGGACUUAGUGAAGAGGAGCAGCUGGAGAGAGCAUUAAGAGCCAGCCUUUGGGACCGAGCGCACCCCAGGAGCGAUGGUAAACCGUGAAAUGCCGGCCGGCCCCACAGCAUAAUUAGCAGGAUCAAACGCUGCCCAGAGAGAAGCACAGUAAUUGUCGUCCGAGGAAAUAGCAGAAGUAGCCCCUCGCCCUAUGGGUUCCGUCUCUCACCAGAAGAAGAAAUGAGGAGACAACGGCUUCACAGAUUUGACGGCCAGUGAGGUGGCACAGCAUCUCAGGCAAAUAAGACCCAGUCGUGUGAUUAUUGCCCGAUUGGUUUAUUCCCCAAGCCCCUACUUGGUCUUAAACAAAAGCAGAGUGCACUAUUAUCGUCCCAGAUUGCUCACAUCUGCCUUGGCUGCUGUGAAUCUAGAUUCACAAGCACAUUGACUUAUCUUGAAACCAGACUUGUUGAGUGUAGCUCACAGCUUUCUGGGAGCGGCCCUUCUCCUGGCCUCUUCUCUCUCACAAACAGGUCAGUUGCUCCACGUAGGGACCAGUUUCCAUGCUCUAGUCUCUCCCUGCCAACUCAGCGGUGCCUCUGCCUUGUUUUGGUUUGAAAGACUGUGACCUUCAGCAGGAGGUUCGUUUUCACCAGCCCGGAAGAUCAAGCCCUCAUUCUGCCCGGCGUGCCCAAUGUUUGACUUGGCAGGAAGUGCCAUCCCUCAUCCUCCUGGCACGUUGCCAUGGUGACUUUCCAGGAAUGGGUUGUGGCCACCAUAGCAGUAUGCUGUUUGAGUCUCCCGUUGGCCCCUGCGUCUGGGUGGUGUUGACAGCGUACCAGCUUUGCUCCUAUAUUGCUCUUCCUUUAAAAAAGCUCGAGCAAGACCUCAGGUGGGAAAGCCACCUACACGCGCCAUUAGAUGUCAGGUGGCACCAACAAUUUGGGCUCACAGCAGCCCUUCCAGGGGCAAUAUACGUUCUCGGGGAUGUGACUUGUGUUAAUCAGGAAAGCAGCAGCAGGUGCCACAUGCAGAGUGGAGCAGUGGCGUGCAGUGGGUUGGUCACUGAGAAAUGCUUCUUGAGGGAGUAUUUUUUUCCUCAUAAAAGUGCCUUUUAAAUGGCCACUGUGACAGCCACUUGUCCUGCCCAAGUGUCCAGGACACUCCCCUGACUCCUGCUGUGUUAUAACCCACAGACCGUCCAGGUCACUUAAGGUGCCUCGUGGUGCUUGUGUUUCGUGAAUAAAAUGACCAAGUCAGAUAUCACUGAUGUCUUAUUGUCACUGAGAUAUUUAUUUUUAAAGAGACUUGGAAGCAGAAAAGGAUCUUCCUAUUUUGAUUUAUCUAGCAUUUAUAUUUAGUUUUCUGAUUAUGAAAGUACUAUAUGUGCCUUAUACGUGCACACAGCUAACAUCUGGAAGGAAAUAUACCCAUAUGUUAAUGGCAGUUAUUUUGGGAGUAGAGAACAUAGGAUUUUGCUUGCUGUCUUUUUACAAUUUUAUACUGCAGUCUUUUAAAAAUAUGUGUAUGUGUAUGUACUUGUAUUACUUCCGCAAUCAGGAAAACUGAUUUAUAUAAUAAUAAAUCAAGAAAUCUAUAAUCAGGAAAA